Molecule: ribosomal RNA, 616 nt
Filed under: uncultured bacterium
Lineage: Bacteria
Description: bacterial SSU rRNA
Rfam family: Bacterial small subunit ribosomal RNA
Source: RNAcentral
UUGAUGGCGACCGGCGCACGGGUGAGUAACGCGUAUCCAACCUGCCUGUUACCACGGCACAGCCCGUCGAAAGGCGGAUUAAUGCCGUAUGUGGUCUUGAGAGGGCAUCUGAUCAUGACUAAAGGUUCAGCGGUAACGGAUGGGGAUGCGUCCGAUUAGCUAGACGGCGGGGUAACGGCCCACCGUGGCUACGAUCGGUAGGGGUUCUGAGAGGAAGGUCCCCCACACUGGAACUGAGACACGGUCCAGACUCCUACGGGAGGCAGCAGUGAGGAAUAUUGGUCAAUGGGCGUAAGCCUGAACCAGCCAAGUAGCGUGAGGGAAGACUGCCCUAUGGGUUGUAAACCUCUUUUGUGCGGGGAUAAAGUGAGGGACGUGUCCCUUAUUGCAGGUACCGCACGAAUAAGGACCGGCUAAUUCCGUGCCAGCAGCCGCGGUAAUACGGAAGGUCCGGGCGUUAUCCGGAUUUAUUGGGUUUAAAGGGAGCGCAGGCCGUCCUUUAAGCGUGCUGUGAAAUGCCGCGGCUCAACCGUGGCACUGCAGCGCGAACUGGAGGACUUGAGUACGCACGAGGUAGGCGGAAUUCGUGGUGUAGCGGUGAAAUGCUUAGAUAUCA